RNAcentral lists this ribosomal RNA (253 nucleotides) under uncultured bacterium. RNAcentral describes it as "partial 16S ribosomal RNA". It matches the Rfam family "Bacterial small subunit ribosomal RNA", at positions 793 to 1055 of the family's 1533-position model. The record is from RNAcentral.
GUCCACGCCGUAAACGAUGGAUACUAGCUGUUGGGAGCAAUUUCAGUGGCUAAGCGAAAGUGAUAAGUAUCCCACCUGGGGAGUACGUUCGCAAGAAUGAAACUCAAAGGAAUUGACGGGGCCCGCACAAGCGGUGGAGCAUGUGGUUUAAUUCGAUGAUACGCGAGGAACCUUACCAAGGCUUAAAUGUAGAUUGACAGGACUGGAAACAGUUUUUUCUCGGACAAUUUACAAGGUGCUGCAUGGUUGUCGU